RNAcentral lists this ribosomal RNA (459 nucleotides) under uncultured bacterium. RNAcentral's name for it is "bacterial SSU rRNA". It matches the Rfam family "Bacterial small subunit ribosomal RNA", at positions 29 to 530 of the family's 1533-position model. The record is from RNAcentral.
AACGAACGCUGGCGGCAGGCCUCAAACAUGCAAGUCUAGGGGGUGUAGCAAUACAUCACCGGCGGACGGGUGCGUAACGCGUGGGAAUAUACCUAUCGAUUCGGAACAACUGAGGGAAACUUCAGCUAAUACCGAAUACGUCCUAACGGAGAAAGAUUUAUCGUCGAUAGAUUAGCCCGCGUUCGAUUAGCUAGUUGGUGGGGUAACGGCCCACCAAGGCGACGAUCGAUAGCUGUUCUGAGAGGAAGAUCAGCCACACUGGGACUGAGACACGGCCCAGACUCCUACGGGAGGCAGCAGUGGGGAAUAUUGGACAAUGGGGGGCAACCCUGAUCCAGCAAUGCCGCGUGAGUGAUGAAGGCCUUAGGGUUGUAAAGCUCUUUUGCCAGGGAAGAUGAUGACUGUACCUGGAGAAUAAGCCCCGGCUAACUUCGUGCCAGCAGCCGCGGUAAUCUGAGA